Molecule: ribosomal RNA, 222 nt
Filed under: uncultured Glomeromycotina
Lineage: Eukaryota; Fungi; Glomeromycota
Description: partial 18S ribosomal RNA
Rfam family: Eukaryotic small subunit ribosomal RNA
Source: RNAcentral
GGGUUAGUAGGUUGGUCAUGCCUCUGGUAUGUACUAAUCUCACUGAUUCCUCCCUCUUGACGAACUGUAAUGUCAUUAAUUUGGUGUUGCAGGAAAUCAGGACUGUUUUAACUUUGAAAAAUUAGAGUGUUUAAAGCAGGCAUUAGCUUGAAUACAUUAGCAUGGAAUAAUGAAAUAGGACGUUUGACCCUAUUUUGUUGGUUUCUAGGAUCGACGUAAUGA